Molecule: long non-coding RNA, 1119 nt
Organism: Eptesicus fuscus (big brown bat)
Lineage: Eukaryota; Metazoa; Chordata; Mammalia; Chiroptera; Vespertilionidae
Exons: 2
Source: RefSeq, a predicted model, not a curated record
CCCGCGGAGAGCCCGCUCUACGUACGCCGCGCGCAGCUCUGUCCGUAGGUCGCCAUGGCGAGGCCGCGGGAAGAGGUGGUCUGCGGAAGGACAAGAAGCGCAGUCAGCGGGAGCCCCCGCCGCCAGCCCCGGGCUGUCUGCCGCGCCUGUUCCCCACAGCGCCGCCCGCCGCCCGCUCCAACCUGCUCCGCAACGGCCACGGCCACCAACGGCACCCCCGCCCCCUAGGUGGGCCGCCUCGGUCCGUCGGCGGGGGCCGGAGAGGCAGACGCCGCGGGCCCUCCGGUCAGGCAGCUGCGCGGGCAGCCCCCGACGCGAGGGGGCGGGGAACGGCGGGUGUAACGCGGUGGGCGCCGCGCGGGGGGGGGAGGGGCGGAGGCCCCGCGCGCGCUCGUCACGGGGGGCGGGGCGCCUGGCGCGUGUGCGCGCGCGGGAGCGACUGGGCGCGGCCGCACACCCUGCGGGUCACGUACGCUCUCCGACUCCCUUUCCGGGCUGUGGCUCCCAGACCCUGCAGACCGCCCCGGGGUAGGGCAUCUGCAAGGGGUCCGUGAGCGUUACUCCCAUUGCCCUGAGCGAGGGCGACGUGCGCUUCUAAAGCAGCCGCUCUCUCCAGACCCGGGAGAAACGAGUGGGCACCGGGACAUCCUUCCAGCCCCUGGCGCCCGCCAUCCCUUCAUCCGCCUCCUAAGGCGCUGUAAUUGCCUGCGCCGGGCGGGACUCCGCCCGAGAGGCUCUCCGGGGCUGCCCCUCCCUGAACAAACUGGGGUGCGUCUCUGGGUGCCCCGCCCCCUUCUCGGGCUCACGCCGCUGGGCUCCUCUUCCGCCGCCGCCUCUCGGUCCAGCGAUGGGACUGCCCUACACAGGGACGAAGCCAGAGCUGUCCUGGGGAGCCACGCCGGCUACCAAACAGGAAUCCUGCCGACCCGGCCUGAGAACGCUGCAUCGGCUGCCUGGGUGUGCAGAAGAGUGAAGGAGCCGAGGGAACGAGAACAAAUGAGCCUUCUAAUGAGACAGAAAUGGAGUCAACUGGGCCUCCCAAGUCAAUCUCCAAUCUCAGCAGCUUAUCCACUCCGGACCCCAGUUUUCUCAUCUAUAAAAUGACAACUUUAAAUGAGA